CGGCCUACGGGUGGCUGCAGUGAGGAAUAUUGGUCAAUGGGCGGAAGCCUGAACCAGCCAUCCCGCGUGCAGGAAGACGGCCCUAUGGGUUGUAAACUGCUUUUCCAGGGGGCGAAACUUUCCGAUGUAUCGGGAUUUGACGGUACCCUGGGAAUAAGCAUCGGCUAACUCCGUGCCAGCAGCCGCGGUAAUACGGAGGAUGCGAGCGUUAUCCGGAUUUAUUGGGUUUAAAGGGUGCGUAGGCGGAUCGAUAAGUCAGUGGUGAAACCCUGCAGCUUAACUGUAGACUUGCCGUUGAUACUGUUGGUCUUGAGUGUGGUCAAGGUAGGCGGAAUGUGUAAUGUAGCGGUGAAAUGCUUAGAUAUUACACAGAACACCGAUUGCGAAGGCAGCUUACUGGGCCAUUACUGACGCUGAUGCACGAAAGCGUGGGGAUCGAACAGGAUUAGAUACCCUAGUAGUCGG
Molecule: ribosomal RNA, 465 nt
Filed under: uncultured Bacteroidales bacterium
Lineage: Bacteria; Pseudomonadati; Bacteroidota; Bacteroidia; Bacteroidales
Description: bacterial SSU rRNA
Rfam family: Bacterial small subunit ribosomal RNA
Source: RNAcentral